Molecule: long non-coding RNA, 165 nt
Organism: Neomonachus schauinslandi (Hawaiian monk seal)
Lineage: Eukaryota; Metazoa; Chordata; Mammalia; Carnivora; Phocidae
Exons: 3
Source: RefSeq, a predicted model, not a curated record
GGGAUGUGGAGGUGUACAAUAGAGUGAUUCAACAAUUUGGUUUCUUGGAGUCUCUGUUGAAUCUGUGGGCCAGACCCCACAGCGGAGGCUGCAGGAACUGUCUUCUGGCCCCAGCAGCUCAGCUCUGAUUGAGUCCACGGAGCCCACUUGGCUUCAGGCUCGUGG